GUUCCCAUCGUCUAGUGGCCUAGGACACCUCCCUUUCACGGAGGAUACACCGGUUCGAAUCCGGUUGGGAACGCCA
This 76-nucleotide transfer RNA is filed under the name Pseudobdellovibrionaceae bacterium. RNAcentral describes it as "Bdellovibrionaceae bacterium (bioreactor metagenome) tRNA-Glu". It matches the Rfam family "tRNA". From Rfam's summary of the family: Transfer RNA (tRNA) molecules are approximately 80 nucleotides in length. RNAcentral also lists the same sequence under 1 other name. Lineage: Bacteria; Pseudomonadati; Bdellovibrionota; Bdellovibrionia; Bdellovibrionales; Pseudobdellovibrionaceae. The record is from RNAcentral.